CCCCGUUGCGCCUGAACCCACACACGCGUCGACACGGUAUCCUGGGUGCUCGAAAGAGUUGGAUAUCGGGGCGCGUGGAGGCCUAAC
Pseudomonas sp. is the source of this 87-nucleotide non-coding RNA. The record is from Rfam. Lineage: Bacteria; Pseudomonadati; Pseudomonadota; Gammaproteobacteria; Pseudomonadales; Pseudomonadaceae.